This 608-nucleotide long non-coding RNA is filed under the name Homo sapiens (human). RNAcentral describes it as "HSALNT0404856". The record is from RNAcentral. Lineage: Eukaryota; Metazoa; Chordata; Mammalia; Primates; Hominidae.
CAAAUUCCCAAUGCCAGGUCUGAGACAGAGGGGAUCGCAGUGGAGACUGCACUCGCUUCAGCAGUUACCAGCUCUGGUAAUAUCUGUUGAGCAACUGCUCCAUGGCAGGGCUGGGGAGGUGGCCCGUGAACAAAUUGGCCAGGGCAGGUCCCUGCUCCGACCUGUGGUGCUUGCAGUCACCGUCUGGGGAGGGACUGCAAAACCACACAGACAGUACGACAGACGGUGCACCAUGAGGAGAAGGUCUGGCUUCCAUGAACAUGUGCCACAGCGGGAGCAAAGUAAAUGAGAUUGGAGGGGGCCAGGAGGAAAUGACAUUGAAGCUCAGAGGAAGAGAAUUUAACCAGGACUGGACUGUCUUCCGGGGGCGAUCAGAGCAAAGGCGCUAAGAUGACAGGAGCCACUAUGCGUCUGAAGAAGCCAGAGUCAGGGUCUUGCUCUGUUGUCCAAGCUGGAGUGCAGUGGUGUGAUCAUGGCUCACUGCAGCCUCGACCUCCCAGGCUCAAGAGAUCCUCCUGCCUCAGCCUCCUAAGUGGCUGGGACUACAGGCAUGCACCACCAUGCCACCAAAUUUUAUAUUUUUGGUAGAGAGGGCCUUGCUGCUUUGC